RNAcentral lists this ribosomal RNA (1521 nucleotides) under metagenome. RNAcentral describes it as "bacterial SSU rRNA". It matches the Rfam family "Bacterial small subunit ribosomal RNA". The record is from RNAcentral.
AGAGUUUGAUCAUGGCUCAGAUUGAACGCUGGCGGCAGGCCUAACACAUGCAAGUCGAACGGUAACAGGAAACAGCUUGCUGUUUCGCUGACGAGUGGCGGACGGGUGAGUAAUGUCUGGGAAACUGCCUGAUGGAGGGGGAUAACUACUGGAAACGGUAGCUAAUACCGCAUAACGUCGCAAGACCAAAGAGGGGGACCUUCGGGCCUCUUGCCAUCAGAUGUGCCCAGAUGGGAUUAGCUAGUAGGUGGGGUAACGGCUCACCUAGGCGACGAUCCCUAGCUGGUCUGAGAGGAUGACCAGCCACACUGGAACUGAGACACGGUCCAGACUCCUACGGGAGGCAGCAGUGGGGAAUAUUGCACAAUGGGCGCAAGCCUGAUGCAGCCAUGCCGCGUGUAUGAAGAAGGCCUUCGGGUUGUAAAGUACUUUCAGCGGGGAGGAAGGGAGUAAAGUUAAUACCUUUGCUCAUUGACGUUACCCGCAGAAGAAGCACCGGCUAACUCCGUGCCAGCAGCCGCGGUAAUACGGAGGGUGCAAGCGUUAAUCGGAAUUACUGGCGUAAAGCGCACGCAGGCGGUUUGUUAAGUCAGAUGUGAAAUCCCCGGGCUCAACCUGGGAACUGCAUCUGAUACUGGCAAGCUUGAGUCUCGUAGAGGGGGGUAGAAUUCCAGGUGUAGCGGUGAAAUGCGUAGAGAUCUGGAGGAAUACCGGUGGCGAAGGCGGCCCCCUGGACGAAGACUGACGCUCAGGUGCGAAAGCGUGGGGAGCAAACAGGAUUAGAUACCCUGGUAGUCCACGCCGUAAACGAUGUCGACUUGGAGGUUGUGCCCUUGAGGCGUGGCUUCCGGAGCUAACGCGUUAAGUCGACCGCCUGGGGAGUACGGCCGCAAGGUUAAAACUCAAAUGAAUUGACGGGGGCCCGCACAAGCGGUGGAGCAUGUGGUUUAAUUCGAUGCAACGCGAAGAACCUUACCUGGUCUUGACAUCCACGGAAGUUUUCAGAGAUGAGAAUGUGCCUUCGGGAACCGUGAGACAGGUGCUGCAUGGCUGUCGUCAGCUCGUGUUGUGAAAUGUUGGGUUAAGUCCCGCAACGAGCGCAACCCUUAUCCUUUGUUGCCAGCGGUCCGGCCGGGAACUCAAAGGAGACUGCCAGUGAUAAACUGGAGGAAGGUGGGGAUGACGUCAAGUCAUCAUGGCCCUUACGACCAGGGCUACACACGUGCUACAAUGGCGCAUACAAAGAGAAGCGACCUCGCGAGAGCAAGCGGACCUCAUAAAGUGCGUCGUAGUCCGGAUUGGAGUCUGCAACUCGACUCCAUGAAGUCGGAAUCGCUAGUAAUCGUGGAUCAGAAUGCCACGGUGAAUACGUUCCCGGGCCUUGUACACACCGCCCGUCACACCAUGGGAGUGGGUUGCAAAAGAAGUAGGUAGCUUAACCUUCGGUAGGGCGCUUACCACUUUGUGAUUCAUGACUGGGGUGAAGUCGUAACAAGGUAACCGUAGGGGAACCUGCGGUUG